This 74-nucleotide transfer RNA is filed under the name Bacteroidales bacterium. RNAcentral describes it as "tRNA-Arg". It matches the Rfam family "tRNA". From Rfam's summary of the family: Transfer RNA (tRNA) molecules are approximately 80 nucleotides in length. Their secondary structure includes four short double-helical elements and three loops (D, anti-codon, and T loops). Lineage: Bacteria; Pseudomonadati; Bacteroidota; Bacteroidia; Bacteroidales. The record is from RNAcentral.
GGUCUAAUAGCUCAGUUGGAUAGAGCAACUGCCUUCUAAGCAGUAGGUCGCAGGUUCGAAUCCUGCUUAGAUCA